This is a long non-coding RNA of Vitis vinifera (wine grape), 364 nucleotides long. RefSeq lists it as uncharacterized. The record is from RefSeq and is a predicted model, not a curated record. The transcript is spliced from 4 exons. NCBI's taxonomy places the organism in Eukaryota, Viridiplantae, Streptophyta, Magnoliopsida, Vitales, Vitaceae.
AGAUCCUCUUGCUUUGUGGUCCCCCAGGACUUGGGAAGACAACACUUGCACAUGUCGCUGCUAAGCAUUGUGGAUACCGUGUGGUGGAGAUAAAUGCUAGUGAUGAUCGGUCAUCUUCAACAAUUGAAGCUAAAAUCCUUGAUGUGGUCCAGAUGAACUCUGUCAUGGCAGAUUCGAAGCCCAAUUGUUUGGUAAUUGAUGAAAUAGAUGGAGCUCUUGGUGAUGGCAAGGGUGCUGUGGAGGUUAUUCUAAAAAUGGUUUCUACUGAAAGGAAAGCUGAUAAUAAGAAGGGAAAUGUUGCUAAAGUAGAUGAGUUGGGACAGAUAUCCUCAAAAAAGGGGCAUUAAAUUGCAUCAUUGUCAAG